Molecule: long non-coding RNA, 5291 nt
Filed under: Varroa destructor (honeybee mite)
Lineage: Eukaryota; Metazoa; Arthropoda; Arachnida; Mesostigmata; Varroidae
Description: uncharacterized LOC111249738
Source: RNAcentral
AGUCGAUCCUUUCCGAUGCUCGGGGAGAUGUUAGUAUGGCAUGUGUCGUUGGCCUGCGACAUUGCAUUGCUUCUAGAGCAUAGCAACCGUACGAGUCGUCCCGCAUGCCUGGCCUCAUCUUCCCUAGCUGUGCUUACAUUGGCUGCUUUUGUUGCUGCUGUACAUUUGAUUGUAAGUCACUUUGCGCAGAAUUUUGAAAUUAGGGAUUGUGCUUGAAUGACUGGAAAAAGACGUUGCAGAAGAGGGCCCGACUGAUACGUGCUGGCGCGUCAAAUUUCUUGACGUCCUCAUUUCUGCCUGCUAGUUUUUCGCUUCCGUUUAUUAAACGACAGCCUCAUCGUAACUCCGAAAAACAGUGGAAACUGCUCUGGGAAGUUAAUGUGUGGAAAAACGGUUGUACGGCUUCACGCCAAAUGGAGUCAGUGCGCCUACCGUUGUCAGCCGGAAGCACAAAUGAAAAUUUGAGAAAUAUUUUGACAGUUCGUAAGUCCACAGCCCUGCCAUAAGUAACAACUCUGGAGGCAGCAGUAACAAGAGCUCUCGUGAGUGUAACAGCACUGAAAUUGCUUCGCCGGCUAUUCGGAUAUUAUGGCAGUGCGGGUUCGUAGAACGCGAAUAGGUACUCGCAGGUCAACUGACUGCCGCGCAUUGUGUUCUUCGUCACCUUUGGUUCAAAACCCCUUUAAGGACCCUGUCUUAAAACAGCGGUGUUAUUUCAGCUUUCGCGUUCGAACGGAUUGGGGUUCAAAAUGAACUCUCCUAUUUUUGGAGAUAAAGCGAGCGAAUGACCAGCGAGUAAGCAUGUCGGCAGGAGCGGCAUUGGUGGCGCCAUCUCGCGUCGAAAAUAAAGCCAUAACAGAACCGCAAGACGGAAAUGGCAUCCCAACACACGAACACACACACACAUAUAGGCAGGAACCGCGUUUCAAUGAACCCAUCAGUAAAUGACUCUUCCAAGAAAAACGAGAUGAUAGCACGAAAAUCGGAGCUUGACUGGAACAUGGCGUCGGGACGGCAGACGCUCUCGAUUCAGUAAGGAACUAAGCAACAGAGCGACUCAAAUGGUGCACCAACAGAAGACAACAAGCCGCUGAUGAAUACUUUUAUGGCUUGCCUGCGCUCACGGAGACUGAACUAAUCCGCAUUAAACUGCUAUUGGGCUUAAGUUAGGAAGUCUAACAACAGAUCCAAAAAUGCUAGCAGACAUGUUGGUCAAUUCUAUAACUCCCAAAUAUGAGCUCCAUGGCUUUCUAUCUCAAAUUUACCUUUGAUUAGGUUACCCCAGUGUAACGUUACUAAGUUUUCCAAUAUUAUUUUACUGGUAGUUUGCCGACGAUUUUAAAGUGACCCAUCCGCUACGAUGCGCCUCAUAAAUGUAUGCAUUGAAUAUAAAUAUAUAUAUAUAUAUAUAUAUAUAAGACCUACUAUUGUUGCCCGCUUUUUGCCAAAAGGGGCGUUAUCUAUCUCAUAACAGAAGAUAUGUUUGGCUUAUAUAGGUUAAGAACUGAAAGUACAACUCAAUCAUUCAAGUGGUUUAAGUGUAUAUGAACGAGACUCUGUUUCGUAGAGUCCAAAAAUUGUCCUUAGUGCAUAUACAUAUAUUAGCCAAAAGAAAUCGAACAUUAAACUGUCAGUUGUGUAUGAGGAAAUAACAGCGGUCUUUGUCUAUCUGACAGUGUUUCUGUGUUUGAGCUGCGUCAUGUCUGUAGCGUAGCCGCUACCAGACGAACUAACACGAGCCAUGCUUAUAGCUACAAUCUAUAGCUAUAAAUUUGAAUACUAACAUGAACAUAUAUAAGGAACAGUAUGAUUAGGAAAGGGUAUGGAACCCUACUCUCUCUAUGUCGCACGUUUACAGAUCCAGCCCGCUAGAAAAGGCCAACGACAGUGAAUGUUGUCGGUGAAUACGGCAUUUCGAAAAUAAUGCUUAAAAUAUUCUUAGCAGCGAAGCCUUGAAAAGCUUCAAUCCAAAUCUUUUACGUCAUACCCCUCAACCAUUUACGACCGAAUCUGUGAAAUACCUUAUAAGCUUCCCAGCGGAAAGUCAAUUUACAACUUGAAAACAACCAAUACUAUGGCAGUUUCAACUUCAAGAUGUUGCUUCUUUGUACGCUCAAACGAAUUGUAGCUAUGAAUUAUAGAACUGAAUUGUAGAUAAGCGUAUCUUUCAUCGAAGUGGAAGUGAUCACAGUACCGCUGGCUGAAUCUUAUUGAUCUCUGCGCGCCUUGUUAGUGGAUUUUGUUCCGUUUAAAUGCUUGUUACUCUAUUUGUGGAGAUAAAUCCACUAGCGUAGAAUAAAAAUCUAUCAUAUUAAUAAACUGUACACGCUUAAUUGACCUAGAGGCAGCUCAUAGCCCAUAGAAGCUUUCAAUAAGGAAGCUUUUCAAUAGAGCGUUUCUUUCCUGCUAUCACCUUUUCAUAAUUGUACUCAGCGGUUCUGGUUUGUGUAAUAGUCGGCGCCGUACUACCGUCUCAUCGCGUCAUACCUAACGCACGGUAGCAAUAAAAAAAACACUGCAUUAUAGGACCUUCGGGAACGUAAACGAGAUACAAAGGCGAGGAGUAGUUCGAACGUUCUAUGGUGAGCAGCUGAGCAGAGUCAAAAUGGAAGAAAAUUAGCCGAAGGAUGAUCGGCAAAGCUAUGAGAAUUCCGCUUUUUUCUUUAUUGGAAAAGAUCUUUUUUCGAUGUCGUCUAAGAGGCAUAAACAAAAGUUGGCUUCCAGCCACAGCUACUGUGAGCAAUAGCAAAACAUGGGUGUCACGCGCCCCUCCCUCGACUAGCCACGAUGUCCUGCCAACGCUUACUCUUCCUAAAACGUAGUCCUAUUCUUGCGUACCACCGCCUACUGUUAAUACCGCUUGUCAGUACGAGAGUGUGUAGUUUAGAGCAUCGGAGGAAGCGCUAAUGCUCGAGCCAAGCACGAUCGGGCCGUGAAGGAAAAAUACCGUACGUAAGGAACAGCCGAUACAGCAGUAGUAAAGAUGAUAGGAACAGCAGCAGUACUAACGAUAGCACGAGGAUCAGGAGAACGGAGCUUAGGGAAAAAGCGGGGGGAGAGAGAAAAAGAAACGCAUUCAUUCAAUCAAUCGAUGUGUCGAUAUCGUCCUCUGCGCGUCGCGUCGCCACUGCUACCAUCUCUGGUACUAGCACUAGUAAUGGUAACGCCAUCCCAGUGCCGUCAUGAUUGCAACUGCGGCAGCGGCGACCGUCCCUUUUAUUUCUUCUGUCUCUCUAUAAAAGUCACAGCCAUCAGCAGGCGUCCCAAUAUGCCUUAUUGGUAUCAUUGCUGAUUUUGUUAUUAUUAUUAUUGCUGUUAUUCUCGCCCCUUUCCGCUUGCCGCUUCCGGUGUCCUAUUGUGAUUUCGGCAGCACUAAACCUUCUACGGUUAUUUCUCCACAGCAACCUCUACCGUUUUUCUGUCCGCCACUUUUCGCAAUGUCAAUGAUCAAUCUAGAAUUGAUAGUUCCUACGCGCGAGGCCCACGAGUUGAAAAAUUCGUACUGAUCUGUGAAGCUUAAUGGCGCAGAGAAGCGGCGCUAGGGCGAGAGAUAUCUAUAUAUCUACAUAGAAAAAGGGAAAGACAGGGAGCAAAGAAGGCAAGUUAGCACUGGAGAGUGCCAAAGGAGUGGUCACAUCGCUGCAAAAAUGGGGAACGUCUACGGAUCGUUGGUCUAAACGGAGAAACAGGUGGAAAGGGCUUUGAGACGUGAAAGCGGCAGAGUGGCAGAGAAGCUUGGUAAUAUAUCUGAAAACGGAUGGUGAAGAAAUAGCAAACGUCUAGACGGGAAUUCAAAACCAGGUUGAGAUAACAACAGCCACAGUGUGAAAAAGAAAGGUCGUCGGGGAAAUAAGGGGAAAAUAGAAAAGUGUUGAGACUUCGACAGAGCAAAAAUAUGGGGGCAGAAAGAUGGAAACGGAAAAAGAAAGCGAGUGAAUACAACGUACAAGGUCGCAUCGAGGAAAAGAACCGGAGAACAAACGGAUAAAAGAUUGGGAAAGAAUGCGACGAAAGGGCGUGAAAAGAAGAAAUAACAUGCUCAGUAAGUUUUAUCCGGUCUCCUUCUAGAGAAAACGGGAAGAAGCGAAGGGGGCUGGCGAAGAAUUACCGUUAAAGGCCUCCAUCGAAGAAAGUGUAAGCAAACAUGUGAUCGUACAGUAAGUACACUGCGGAUGUCGACUUAACGACACCACUCGACAAAAGUUUACCCACAUCACAAACAAAAAGAAUUGUUUGAGAUCGCAAAAAAAAAACGACGACCAAGUGGGUCGACGGUCAGAUGCUGGUUAAAGUGAAAGGGCACAGGAGUAACAGAAAACAGGGAAGAAGGCCUGUACAUUAUCGUACAUAAUAUACGGUGAUGUACAACGUCAUUAAGAUUAAGUUGUAGCCUUAAAAUCUCGUGACUAUAUAGGACUGUACUAAUUGGCAGCUGUAGCAACGGCCAAGAACUUGUCACAACUGUAUAACCAUAAUAGUGAUCUGAGCUUAGCUUGUUAUAAUAUCAGUUGACAAUAGAUGAUAUUUAGGUAUAGAGUUAUUGGCCUUUUCUGUUACUUUCUUUCCUAGCUUUAAGCAUAGUUCUAUGACUUAGUGUAAAGGACUGUUUCGAUCGUACGACGACUGUUUCUCCAAGAACAAAAAUAAAAUUUGGUACAGCAAGCACAAGUUCCUUAGAAUACAAGCCAACGCAACGCACGUCUAGAAACGUUAAAGGCAUAGAAGCAACGAAGUAAACGAACAACUAAAUACCGAUUGAGGGGUGACUAUGUGUGACACGAGACUAAUCGUUCGAACACAUUUUCAAUCGAGUUGAAACCAGAGGAUUUUGAUGGGCAUCGGCUUAAAUUAUAGGGAAAUCGUCUAUUUACUGAUUACAGCGGACCUUGAAAUAGUCACUCAAAAGCAAGACAUAAUUAUAUGUUCGUUUAAACAUGAAUAGAGUAAUUAUGCACUAUGCUAACUACAAAGGUAUCGUUCAAUCACAAAACAGAGAAAACUCACCCAGGCUCAUUGGGCUUACUGUGGUACAAAAUAAUCAAAUCUUAUAUUUUUAUAAACGAUUUACUUGGUUGGUUACUCAUCCAAGUCUUUCUGAUGAGAGGUGCGGACCUGCCUUCGGACGGAGAAGGUCUAGAAGGAUGGAAAGCACGCAAAAACCUUCCAUUCCCUGUGCAUAUUCAUUGCGCUAUCAUUGUCUAAGCUAAAAUGGCGCAGACCAACGCCGUGCGUCAACUUCAAAACAUCCCGGAGAUUAAUAUAUGUGUGCAUUGACCCGGGUCCCCGUUAUA